UACGGAGGGUGCAAGCGUUAUCCGGAUUCACUGGGUUUAAAGGGCGCGUAGGCGGCUUGGCAAGUGGAUGGUGAAAUCCCUCGGCUUAACCGAGGAACUGCCGUCCAAACUGCUUCGCUUGAGACCGGGAGAGGUGAGUGGAAUUCCCAGUGUAGCGGUGAAAUGCGUAGAUAUUGGGAGGAACACCAGUGGCGAAGGCGGCUCACUGGACCGGUACUGACGCUGAUGCGCGAAAGCGUGGGGAGCAAACGGG
Molecule: ribosomal RNA, 253 nt
Filed under: uncultured bacterium
Lineage: Bacteria
Description: partial 16S ribosomal RNA
Rfam family: Bacterial small subunit ribosomal RNA
Source: RNAcentral